Molecule: ribosomal RNA, 396 nt
Filed under: uncultured bacterium
Lineage: Bacteria
Description: bacterial SSU rRNA
Rfam family: Bacterial small subunit ribosomal RNA
Source: RNAcentral
AUUGAACGCUGGCGGCGUGCUUAACACAUGCAAGUCGAUCGGUAACAGGUGUAGCAAUACAUGCUGACGAGAGGCGGACGGGUGAGUAAUGCUUGGGAAUCUGCCUAUUAGUGGGGGACAACCCGGGGAAACUCGGGCUAAUACCGCAUACGCUCUACGGAGGAAAGCCGGGGACCGCAAGGCCUGGCGCUAAUAGAUGAGCCCAAGUCGGAUUAGCUAGUUGGUAGGGUAACGGCCUACCAAGGCGACAAUCCGUAGCUGGUCUGAGAGGACGACCAGCCACACCGGAACUGAGACACGGUCCGGACUCCUACGGGAGGCAGCAGUGGGGAAUAUUGGACAAUGGACGAAAGUCUGAUGCAGCGACGCCGCGUGUGGGAUGACUGCCCUCGGGUU